This 468-nucleotide ribosomal RNA is filed under the name uncultured bacterium. RNAcentral's name for it is "bacterial SSU rRNA". It matches the Rfam family "Bacterial small subunit ribosomal RNA", at positions 28 to 507 of the family's 1533-position model. The record is from RNAcentral.
GACGAACGCUAGCGGCGUGCCUAAGAAAUGCAAGUUGAGCGAGGUGAUGGACUUCGGUCUGUUUACCUAGCAGCGAACGGUCGCGUAACACGUAAGCAACCUGCCUCGAAGUUUGGGAUAGCCCUCCGAAAGGAGGAGUAAUACCGGAUGUGGAUAUAUUUAGACAUCUUUAUAUAUCUAAAGCAGCAAUGCGCUUCGAGAUGGGCUUGCGGCCUAUCAGCUAGUUGGUGGGGUAAAGGCCUACCAAGGCGACGACGGGUAGCUGGUCUGAGAGGAUGAUCAGCCGGAUUGGGACUGAGAUACGGCCCAGACUCCUACGGGGGGCAGCAAUUAGGAAUCUUGCGCAAUGGGCGAAAGCCUGACGCAGCGACGCCGCGUGACUGAUGAAGUCUUUCGGGAUGUAAAGGUCUUUUCUGAAGGAAGAAACAAAUGACGGUACUUCAGGAAUAAGCCCCGGCUAACUACGUG